UACGUAGGGUGCGAGCGUUAAUCGGAAUUACUGGGCGUAAAGCGUGCGCAGGCGGCUGGGCAAGUCCGAUGUGAAAGCUUCCGGCUUAACUGGAAAAUUGCAUCGGAAACUGCUCGGCUUGAAGGUGGGAGAGGGUAGCGGAAUUCCCGGUGUAGUGGUGAAAUGCGUAGAUAUCGGGAGGAACACCAGUGGCGAAGGCGGCUACCUGGCCCACUCUUGACGCUGAGGCGCGAAAGCUAGGGGAGCAAACGGG
This 253-nucleotide ribosomal RNA is filed under the name uncultured bacterium. RNAcentral's name for it is "partial 16S ribosomal RNA". It matches the Rfam family "Bacterial small subunit ribosomal RNA", at positions 524 to 776 of the family's 1533-position model. The record is from RNAcentral.